GGCCCGGUAGCUCAGGGGAUAGAGCGCCACUCUCCUAAAGUGGGCGUCGUGUGUUCGAAUCACAUCCGGGCCA
This 73-nucleotide transfer RNA is filed under the name Aeriscardovia aeriphila. It matches the Rfam family "tRNA". From Rfam's summary of the family: Transfer RNA (tRNA) molecules are approximately 80 nucleotides in length. Their secondary structure includes four short double-helical elements and three loops (D, anti-codon, and T loops). Further hydrogen bonds mediate the characteristic L-shaped molecular structure. tRNAs have two regions of fundamental functional importance: the anti-codon, which is responsible for specific mRNA codon recognition, and the 3' end, to which the tRNAs corresponding amino acid is attached (by aminoacyl-tRNA synthetases). tRNAs cope with the degeneracy of the genetic code in two manners: having more than one tRNA (with a specific anti-codon) for a particular amino acid; and 'wobble' base-pairing, i.e. permitting non-standard base-pairing at the 3rd anti-codon position. Lineage: Bacteria; Bacillati; Actinomycetota; Actinomycetes; Bifidobacteriales; Bifidobacteriaceae. The record is from Rfam by way of RNAcentral.